Molecule: ribosomal RNA, 497 nt
Filed under: uncultured bacterium
Lineage: Bacteria
Description: partial 16S ribosomal RNA
Rfam family: Bacterial small subunit ribosomal RNA
Source: RNAcentral
GAUGAACGCUGGCGGCGUGCCUAAUACAUGCAAGUCGAGCGAAUGGAUGCGAAGCUUUCCUCGCUGAUGUUAGCGGCGGACGGGUGAGUAACGCGUGGAUAACCGACCUAUACGUCUGGGAUAACUUCGGGAAACCGGAGCUAACACCGGCUAAUAUUGUGAACCGCUUGGUUCCACAGUGAAUGACGGUCUUGCUGUCACUUGUAGAUGGAUCCGCGCUGCAUUAGCUAGUUGGUAAGGUAACGGCUUACCAAGGCAACGAUGCAUAGCCGACCUGAGAGGGUGAUCGGCCACACUGGAACUGAGACACGGUCCAGACUCCUACGGGAGGCAGCAGUAGGGAAUCUUCCGCAAUGGGCGAAAGCCUGACGGAGCAACGCCGCGUGAGUGAUGAAGGUCUUCGGAUCGUAAAACUCUGUUAUUAGGGAAGAACAAAUGUGUAAGUAACUGAGCACAUCUUGACGGUACCUAAUCAGAAAGCCACGGCUAACUACGUG